GAAAGAUGAAAAGCACCUUGAAAAGAGGGUUAAAUAGUACGUGAAAUUGUUGAAAGGGAAGCGCUUGUGACCAGACUUGGGCGCGGCGGAUCAUCCGGGGUUCUCCCCGGUGCACUUCGCCGUGUCCAGGCCAGCAUCAGUUCGUCGCCGGGGAAAAAGGCUUCGGGAACGUGGCUCCCCUGGGAGUGUUAUAGCCCGUUGCAUAAUACCCUGCGGUGGACUGAGGACCGCGCAUCUGCAAGGAUGCUGGCGUAAUGGUCACCAGCGACCCGUCUUGAAACACGGACCAAGA
This 292-nucleotide ribosomal RNA is filed under the name Trichoderma citrinoviride. RNAcentral's name for it is "partial large subunit ribosomal RNA". It matches the Rfam family "Eukaryotic large subunit ribosomal RNA", at positions 359 to 671 of the family's 3401-position model. The record is from RNAcentral. Lineage: Eukaryota; Fungi; Ascomycota; Sordariomycetes; Hypocreales; Hypocreaceae.